This 30-nucleotide non-coding RNA is filed under the name Mus musculus (house mouse). Lineage: Eukaryota; Metazoa; Chordata; Mammalia; Rodentia; Muridae. The record is from RNAcentral.
UAGAUUUGGCAAAACAUGUUUCCUACACUG